RNAcentral lists this long non-coding RNA (604 nucleotides) under Brachypodium distachyon (stiff brome). RNAcentral describes it as "long non-coding RNA (BDIS_LNC004450)". The record is from RNAcentral. Lineage: Eukaryota; Viridiplantae; Streptophyta; Magnoliopsida; Poales; Poaceae.
UGACGCAAAUCGACGCGCCGCCCAGGAGCAACGACGGUGAGUUUUUUAAAAAAAUUUGUAAAUGAAAAGCUUAAAAAACUUAAACUUGGAAAAAUUAAAUUUCAGACUGAGUAAAAUUAAAAGUUUGAAAAAACAUCCAAUAUAUUGAAAAUAAAAGUUAUGCUAAAAAGGCAAAAGAAAAAAACUCAUCAACGGAAUAACAUAUACUGACAACAUGGACUAGCUAGGAUGUGAAUCUUACAUAGAAGAACACGAACCAGAAUCAUCCGAAAUCAUAUCACUUGAAUUUUUUUUUAGCGAAAUUGACUAAAUAAAACAACUUGGGACCUGGGAGACUGAAAUUUGAAGUGCAAAAGUGCUUGAACGCCUCAGUGCGCGGUAUCAGGCGGAUGAGAUGCACGCAAAAUGGCCCGAUCGAUCGACUAGGAGAGACUAUGAUCAAGACGUACACUGCUUUGGGAAUAAGCAAUCAGGAGUCGAGAACGGGUGCAAGCAGGAGAAGGAGGUCCACCUCGUAGGGGCAGCCUUGCCCACAACCACCACUGCACCACACGGCGGGCGCCCCACGAGGCCACAACUUGUCCUCGCCAUCCUCCCCUGACGG